This 293-nucleotide signal recognition particle RNA is filed under the name Callithrix jacchus (white-tufted-ear marmoset). RNAcentral's name for it is "Metazoan signal recognition particle RNA (ENSCJAG00000057452.2)". It matches the Rfam family "Metazoan signal recognition particle RNA". From Rfam's summary of the family: The signal recognition particle (SRP) is a universally conserved ribonucleoprotein. Lineage: Eukaryota; Metazoa; Chordata; Mammalia; Primates; Cebidae. The record is from Rfam by way of RNAcentral.
GCUGGGCAUGGUGGCGCGUGCCUGUAAUCCCAGCUACUCAGGAGGCUGAGGCAGGAGAAUUGCUUGAACCCAGGAGAUGGAGGUUGCGGUGAGCCGAGAUUGAGCCAUUGCACUCCAGCCAGGGUAACAAGGGCGAAACUCCAUCUCAAAAAAAAAGAAAAGACUUACUGUUUUGUUUUCUGUUUUCUUUUGAGAUGGAGUUUCGCUCUUGUUGCCCAGGCUGGAGUGCAGUAGUGCAAUAUCGGCCCGUUGCAACCUCCGCCUCCUGGGUUCAAGCAAUUCUCCUGCUUCAG